AACCUGGUUGAUCUUGCCAGUAGUCAUAUACGCUUGUCUCAAAGAUUAAGUCAUGCUAGUGAAAGGAUAUACGCAUAUAUUUGCAUAUGCAGAAACUGCGAACGGCUCAUUAAAACAGUUAUAAUAUACUGGACAUUUUUUCCCAUAAGGAUGAUUACGGAAAAGCUGUAGCCAAUAUUUGGCAUAGCACUUUUGAUUAACUUCUUAAGUGCGUACUUGUUAAUUCGUCUAAGAAGAAAGUUUUAAUAGCUUUAUGAAUGAUAACAACGAAGUGUGACACGUAAAAAGAUUCGCCCAUUUUUUUAGUGUGUGUCCAUCGAGUUUCUGACCUAUCAGCUUUUGAUGUUAGGGUAUUGGCCUAACAUGGCUAUGACGGGCAACGGGGAAUUAUAGUUCGAUUCCCGAGAGGGAGCUUGAGAAAUAGCUACCACAUCUAAGGAAGGCAGCAUAUAGCAGCAUGGGAGUAAAUUACCCAACUCUAAAGAAGAGAGGUAGUGACAAGAAGUUAACAAUACAAGGCCAAUAUGGCUUUAUAAUUGGAAUGGUGUGCGGGGGGGGUGGUUUUAUCCUUCUCCCAAAACACAAUUGGAGGGCAAGUCUGGUGCCAGCAGCCGCGGUAAUUCCAGCUCCAAUAGCGUAUAUUAAAAUCGUUGCAGUUAUAAUGUUCGUAGUUAAAUUUGAAAGAAUCAACAUUUUAAGCAACGCGUUUAGCUUAAUCCACACGACUGGUGCUUCGUAUCGGUUGGUACUUAGCAUCGACAUUGUGCGCAUUUUGCUACUACGUGUUCUUCUAAUUAAAAUGAUUCUUUUUAGGGGUUUCCUUUGUUUCGGCAUUGAAUCCCUUGUUACCUUGCGAAAAAUAAACUGUUCAAAGGAAACAGUUAUAUUAUAGCAUUGCGCGUUUCGAAUACUACAGCAGGGAAUAACAAAAUUGAACGAGUAAAAACUUGGUUCAUUUUUCUUAUUUUGGCUUAGUUACGAUUAAUUGGAGUAGCAUGGGGGCAUUUGUAUUCAGAUGUCAGAGGUGAAAUUCUUAGAUUUUCUGGAGACAAACAACUGCGAAAGCAUUUGCCUAAAAUACUUCCAUUAAUCAAGAACGAAAGUUAAGGGAGUGAAGACGAUUAGAUGCCGUCGUAAUCUUAACCAUAAACAAUGCCGACUAGACUAGGCUUUAGAUGAAAAGUUUUAAAAUAAGAGUUUUCUCUUCGGAGUUAACCUCUUAGAUUUGCUUCCUUCAGUGCCUUAGGGGAAAUCAAAACCUUUGGGUUCUGGGGAAAGUAUUCGCGCAAGCGAGAAAGUUAAAAAGAAUUGACGGAAGGGCACCACCAGACGUGGAGCUUGCGGCUUAAUUUGACUCAGCACGGGAAAGCUCACUAGUUUAAGACAAGAGUAGGAUUGAAAGAUUGAGAGAGAGCUCUUUCUUGAUUUCUUGGAUGGUGACGCAUGGCCGUUUUCAGUUCGUGAAUAUUUGUCGGGUUAAUCCCGAUGAUGAACGGGACCUUAACCUGCUAAGUAGCGGCAAAUACGAUACAUUCUUAGGUAAGAUUGAACCUGGUUGAUUUGCUCAUUUCGAAGUGCACGCAUGAGGAUCGGGAUUAUGUGACGCGUCAGUUUUUUUCUGCCGAUUUACUGAUGCAGCACAUAUUUCUCGUUCUUUCAUUCGUGCACUUCGAAAUAAGCAAAUCAACCAGGUUCAAUUUUACCUAAGAAUGUGUUUCAUUUGCUUGAUUGUAAAGCUUCUUAGAGGAACAGUGUGUGUGUAACACAAGGAAGAUUAAGGCAACAAAACAGGUCCUGCGAUGUCCUUAGAUGAACUAGGAAGCCCCGUGCUACACGGAUAUGUGCAACGAGUUGUUAGAAGUGUGCAUGUGUUAUUUGUGCUUAUGGAGCCGUUUAGCAUCAUCGCAUGCUUUUCCUCCACUGAAAAGUGUAGGUAAUAUUUAUCAGUACGUAUCGUGAUGAGGAUAUAUUGCAAUUAUCAAUCUCGACCGAGGAACGUCUAGUAAGCGGGAUUCACCAGAUUGCGCUGACUACGUCCCUGCGCUUUGUACACACCGCCCGUCGCUCCUACCGAUUGGAAGAUACGAUGAAUCGUUUGAAUAAGAGAAAAGGGGAUUAUAUAUCUUUUUUUUUCUCUGAAAGAAUCGAAAAUCUUAUCUUUUAAAGGAAGGAGAAUCGACACGUUCAAGUUCACUACGAGUUCCAUAGGUUCAUCUACGGAAGGUCUUUAUGGCGCAACGAAAAAUAUUGGAGCACGUAAGAAAGUGAAAUCGGCUAGCUGUGUAUUUUCGGAAUAUUUGAGGCGAAUAUUUUCGGUAUACUUACUAUCG
RNAcentral lists this ribosomal RNA (2330 nucleotides) under Plasmodium vivax (malaria parasite P. vivax). RNAcentral describes it as "SSU rRNA". It matches the Rfam family "Eukaryotic small subunit ribosomal RNA". The record is from RNAcentral. Lineage: Eukaryota; Apicomplexa; Aconoidasida; Haemosporida; Plasmodiidae.